GGAGAGAUGCCAGAGUGGUUGAUUGGGCCGGUCUCGAAAACCGGUAUCCGCAAAUAAGCGGAUCCUGGGUUCAAAUCCCAGUCUCUCCGCCA
Molecule: transfer RNA, 92 nt
Filed under: Candidatus Omnitrophota bacterium
Lineage: Bacteria; Pseudomonadati; Candidatus Omnitrophota
Also listed under: 1 other name
Description: Candidatus Omnitrophica bacterium tRNA-Ser
Rfam family: tRNA
About the family: Transfer RNA (tRNA) molecules are approximately 80 nucleotides in length. Their secondary structure includes four short double-helical elements and three loops (D, anti-codon, and T loops).
Source: RNAcentral